Molecule: ribosomal RNA, 302 nt
Filed under: uncultured bacterium
Lineage: Bacteria
Description: bacterial SSU rRNA
Rfam family: Bacterial small subunit ribosomal RNA
Source: RNAcentral
GAUGAACGCUGGCGGCGUGCCUAAUACAUGCAAGUCGAACGCGAGCAGCAAUGCUCGAGUGGCGAACGGGUGAGUAAUACAUAAGUAACCUGCCCUAGACAGGGGGAUAACUGCUGGAAACGGCAGCUAAGACCGCAUAGGCAUACAUGACGCAUGUCGAGUAUGUUAAAUAUCCUACGGGAUAGCACAGGGAUGGGCUUAUGACGCAUUAGCCAGCUGGUGAGGUAGAGGCUCACCAGGGCGACGAUGCGUAGCCGGCCUGAGAGGGUGGACGGCCACACUGGGACUGAGACACGGCCCAG